Sarcophilus harrisii (Tasmanian devil) is the source of this 2262-nucleotide long non-coding RNA. Lineage: Eukaryota; Metazoa; Chordata; Mammalia; Dasyuromorphia; Dasyuridae. The record is from Ensembl.
AUGCUGAGCCCUCUAUUGUUCUUGGAUUUUAAUGUACAUAAAUCUUGUCUUCUCAAUUUAAUUGUAGUUUUCUUGAUUUCAGUAUUCUUUAAUUUUUUUUCUUUUAUUUGUUCUUUAAAUACUGUUGCUUUGAUUAACACCUUUCUAUCCCGGCCUCCUGCCCAGCAAAUUUAUGCUGGGCUCCAAUAUGGGGAUUGUAAAAAAUGUUCUCAAUAUUUCUUUGUCUUCCUAUUUUCCAGGUCUGAUUCUAGUGUGAAAAGCAAUAUUGAACAGAAAAUUGUCCCCAAGGAGCAAGAAAUGGAAGUUGAUCUCAAGAAAGACCAGCACAAAGAUGUUGUGAACCCACAUAAAAACUGUGGCCUGCCCAUUUCUCUACCCAUAUAUCCUGGUAUUCAAGCAAAAGAAAAUGCUAACUCUUGGACUCACGUACUUCAAAAUAAGAUUGUUACGCACAGCAAAAGCAAGAAGGAAGAGGAUUUAGAGGAAUUUGCCCUUAGUUUUCCAUACAGAUUAACCCGGCUAUCAACAGACUCUGAGAUGUCAAGAACUAAGCCAUGGGACGCUCAGAAGAUGCUGGGCCAACUUCGAGAGAAGCUGCCCCUUCAGAAAAACCUGCUGCCUACUCGAUCCAUCCCAAGCAAAGCGUAUGUACACUUUAAAUCCUUUCACUUUACCAUGCCUUAUUUCACCCUGUGCCUCAUUCAUAUCAAACUUACUCCCAUUCCUGUCUCUUUCACCUUUGAGACCUUGUUCUUUUCCCUUAGACUUAGAGGUCAUCUCUUUCACUUUCUUCAAGGCCCAACUCUAGUAUCAUCUCCUCCUAGAAACUUCUCCUGAUACUUGUAGUGUUCUGGUUAGUUUUCUGGAGGUCUUGGAGCAGCCUUCAUUUCAGCAGAUUAAUUACCACAAGAAUAGCCAGGGAUAAAGUCCAAAUUCUUUAUUAUCUCUUUCACAGUCUAAUUUCUUUGCCUGGGGCCCAAGCCAGCUUUCUUGAGGGUCCUCUAGAAUGUGUUUUGGUUUCUGUGGGGGAGGCAGGAGGACCACCACGACGGGCUCUGUCUUGAAGUCUGUCUCAGUCCCAGGGCUUGUGCUCCAGCCUCCAGCCACCACAAAGAUGGGAGAUGAAAUAAAUCUGUCUCAGCCUACCCUGGCUGAGUUUGUCCCAGAUUAUAUGCUCUGUUAUAAUUACGUUAUCAUAGGUGUGAAUCUUAUAAGUGUCAGUCUUGUAGAACUAUGUUAAGUACUAAGUACAUGUACUGAACUAGAGAAGUAUUUAAGCACCAUGCUAAACUAGAUAACCAUUGUCUCAUCAACUCCACUGACUUAACACCUUGUAGGAAUCCUUGUUCCAAGUAUAGAGUUCUGGCCCAUAACAGAUAACUCUCUUCUUCCUUCUUGUCUCCAUCCUCAUUCCUCCUACUUCAUACCUAAAAGAUAUUUAGCUUUCUUUGUUUUUCUCUCCUUUCUUUUUUACUUUCUCUUUUAUUUUGCUUCUCUCUCUCUCUCUCUCUUUCUCUCGGCUAUAAGGUGCUUUGGAAGCUAGGGUGUAAUGGGCCAGAACUCCAGAGAAGUGUUCUUAAGGCUCAGUAUGAUCCUUCAACAAGGUAUUAACUCGGUGGAAUUGAUAAGACAAUGGCUAUCUAGUUUUACAUGUACUUAGGACUUAUUAUAGUUCUACAAGAUUGACACCUAUGCUGAUGUAAUUAUAAUAGAGUAUAUCAGAGCCAACAAGGACUGGAGGAGAGACAUCUAUUCCGUGUCCCACCACCGUGGUGGCUGUCCUAUCCUCCCUCACCUCUCCACUGAGACGAAGCCCCGUCUGAAGGCCCUCCAGGAAGCUAGCCGAGCCCCAGGUGAAGGAGAGAGACUGUGAAGAAGUCAAUAAAGAAUUUGGACUUUAUCCCUGGCUAUUCUUGUGGUGAUUACUCAGCUGAAACAAAGGCUGGUCCUGAGAUCUCCAGACAGCUAAGCAGAAUAUUACACGGGGGAUGGUUUAUUUUAUCUUUGUGUCUCUGUUGUCUAGCAUAGGACAUUGCCACUUAAUAUUUGCUGAAUUGUAUUGGAAGAUUAAGUAUGUACCUGAUGUCCAGAUCUAUUCAAUGUGGAUCUCUUGGGGGGGAUACAAGGUGUGUUAAGGACACAGUCCCAGCUGCUUUGCCCUCAAUUCAAGCUAAGUGUUAGCUCCAUGCUGGGCAUUGUGGCAAAAAAGUGUCAUGCAGGUCCCAAUCCUAAUAGAAUUUAUGAUGUAGCUGAAGAGGAAGG